GACGAACGCUGGCGGCGUGCUUAACACAUGCAAGUCGAACGGAAAGGCCCUGCUUUUAUGGGGUGCUCGAGUGGCGAACGGGUGAGUAACACGUGAGUAACCUGCCCUUGACUUUGGGAUAACUUCAGGAAACUGGGGCUAAUACCGGAUAGGAGCUCCUGCUGCAUGGUGGGGGUUGGAAAGUUUCGGCGGUUGGGGAUGGACUCGCGGCUUAUCAGCUUGUUGGUGGGGUAGUGGCUUACCAAGGCUUUGACGGGUAGCCGGCCUGAGAGGGUGACCGGCCACAUUGGGACUGAGAUACGGCCCAGACUCCUACGGGAGGCAGCAGUGGGGAAUAUUGCACAAUGGGCGGAAGCCUGAUGCAGCAACGCCGCGUGCGGGAUGAAGGCCUUCGGGUUGUAAACCGCUUUCGCCUGUGACGAAGCGUGAGUGACGGUAAUGGGUAAAGAAGCACCGGCUAACUACGUG
This 468-nucleotide ribosomal RNA is filed under the name uncultured bacterium. RNAcentral describes it as "partial 16S ribosomal RNA". It matches the Rfam family "Bacterial small subunit ribosomal RNA", at positions 28 to 507 of the family's 1533-position model. The record is from RNAcentral.